CAUGCAGUCGAGCGGAACGAGUUAACUGACCCUUCGGGUGACGUUAACGGCGUCGAGCGGCGGACGGGUGAGUAAUGCCUGGGAAAUUGCCCUGAUGUGGGGGAUAACCAUUGGAAACGAUGGCUAAUACCGCAUAAUGCCUUCGGGCCAAAGAGGGGGACCUUCGGGCCUCUCGCGUCAGGAUAUGCCCAGGUGGGAUUAGCUAGUUGGUGAGGUAAUGGCUCACCAAGGCGACGAUCCCUAGCUGGUCUGAGAGGAUGAUCAGCCACACUGGAACUGAGACACGGUCCAGACUCCUACGGGAGGCAGCAGUGGGGAAUAUUGCACAAUGGGCGCAAGCCUGAUGCAGCCAUGCCGCGUGUGUGAAGAAGGCCUUCGGGUUGUAAAGCACUUUCAGCAGUGAGGAAGGCGGAUACGUUAAUAGCGUAUUCGUUUGACGUUAGCUGCAGAAGAAGCACCGGCCAACUCCGUGCCAGCAGCCGCGGUAAUACGGAGGGUGCGAGCGUUAAUCGGAAUUACUGGGCGUAAAGCGCAUGCAGGUGGUUCGUUAAGUCAGAUGUGAAAGCCCGGGGCUCAACCUCGGAACUGCAUUUGAAACUGGCGGACUAGAGUACUGUAGAGGGGGGUAGAAUUUCAGGUGUAGCGGUGAAAUGCG
This 655-nucleotide ribosomal RNA is filed under the name uncultured Vibrio sp. RNAcentral's name for it is "bacterial SSU rRNA". It matches the Rfam family "Bacterial small subunit ribosomal RNA", at positions 54 to 690 of the family's 1533-position model. The record is from RNAcentral. Lineage: Bacteria; Pseudomonadati; Pseudomonadota; Gammaproteobacteria; Vibrionales; Vibrionaceae.